Molecule: ribosomal RNA, 410 nt
Filed under: uncultured microorganism
Description: bacterial SSU rRNA
Rfam family: Bacterial small subunit ribosomal RNA
Source: RNAcentral
GAGUUUGAUCAUGGCUCAGAUUGAACGCUGGCGGCAUGCCUUACACAUGCAAGUCGAACGGCAGCAUGAUCUAGCUUGCUAGAUUGAUGGCGAGUGGCGAACGGGUGAGUAAUACAUCGGAACGUGCCCUGUAGUGGGGGAUAACUAGUCGAAAGAUUAGCUAAUACCGCAUGCGACCUGAGGGUGAAAGUGGGGGACCGCAAGGCCUCAUGCUAUAGGAGCGGCCGAUGUCUGAUUAGCUAGUUGGUGGGGUAAAGGCCCACCAAGGCGACGAUCAGUGGCUGGUCUGAGAGGACGAUCAGCCACACUGGGACUGAGACACGGCCCAGACUCCUACGGGAGGCAGCAGUGGGGAAUUUUGGACAAUGGGCGAAAGCCUGAUCCAGCAAUGCCGCGUGUGUGAAGAGGCC